This 64-nucleotide transfer RNA is filed under the name Nothocricetulus migratorius (Armenian hamster). RNAcentral describes it as "tRNA-Pro". It matches the Rfam family "tRNA". Rfam says of the family: Transfer RNA (tRNA) molecules are approximately 80 nucleotides in length. Lineage: Eukaryota; Metazoa; Chordata; Mammalia; Rodentia; Cricetidae. The record is from RNAcentral.
GAAGUAGUUUAGCAAGAAUAUCAGCUUUGGGUGCUGAUGGUGGAGGUUAAACCUCCCUUCUUGA